UACGGAGGGUGCAAGCGUUGUUCGGAUUUAUUGGGUUUAAAGGGUGCGUAGGCGGCCAUAUAAGUCAGUGGUGAAACCCUUGGGCUUAACCCAAGGAGUGCCAUUGAUACUGUAUGGCUUGGGUUAUCUCUGGGCGGGCGGAAUGGAUGGUGUAGCGGUGAGAUGCAUAGAUAUCAACCAGAACGCCGACAGCGAAGGCAGCUCGCUGGGGGAUAUACCGACGCUGAGGCACGUAGCGUGGGGAUCAAACAGG
Molecule: ribosomal RNA, 253 nt
Filed under: uncultured bacterium
Lineage: Bacteria
Description: partial 16S ribosomal RNA
Rfam family: Bacterial small subunit ribosomal RNA
Source: RNAcentral